CUUCAGCUUCUCGGAUCAAGGUGGGACAUGUAAAGCUUAUGACUUCAAUUAUGUCUUGAGCGGUCCACAUCUUUUCCCGCUUCUGCACUUUGGAUUUACUUCUUCUUCUUUUCUUCUUUUCUCUUAUUCUGGAUAAAGACUUCUUCUUUUGGUUGUCUCAAACCCACUGUAUCGAGGUAUAACCUGCUCAGACACCAAGACAAAUAAACGAAUGGAAUUUUUCUAUCCCAAUUUUUACUAGAAAAAUUUCGUGGGUUAUUGGUAAUAAAAUUAUAAACUACUUUUUUAUUGAAAGCAAUAAAAGUCAUGAUUGUGUAUCCUUGAGAAAAAGAGAUUACAGAGUAGAGACCUUAUAUCUAAAUGAAAUCAACAAGGGAUUAGAGACCCUAGGUUUGAAAAAUCACAAGGUUAUGCUGGCAUCAACUCAGGGAUUUGGAGACCCUAGGAUGGAAAAAUUACCAGGUUAUACAGUCAUUAACGAGGGAGUCAGACCCUAUGUAGGAAAAUCAUCAGCUAGGAAAUGAUGACCACAUGUUGGAAAAUAUAGCUAGGGGUUGGUGUACCCUAUAUGGUAAUGAAAAGUAACUAGGGGUUGGGGACAUGUAUUACUGAAAAAGGGUUGAAUCUCGCUGGGUGAAAAAGUUCUACUGGGUUAAACUACAAAAAGCAAGCCUGGGCGAAGAGUACUUCUAUCCGAAAAAUAUGAGCUGGAUCCCCGUAGGUAGAAAAGUUGUACCUAGGUUAAGCUACAAAAACUAAGCAUGGGCGAAUAGUACUUCUACACGGAAAUAGGAGCUAGAUCCCUCUAGGCGAAAAGGUUCUAACCGAGUUAAGCUAUGUAAAAAUAACUUGAGCGAAGAGUACUUCUGCUGGAAAUAUGAGCUAGAUCCCUAUAGGUGAAACGGUUCUACCUGAGUUAAGCUAUGUAAGACUAAGCUUGGGCGAAGAGUACUUCUACCUGAAAAAUAGGAGCUUGAUCCCCCUAGGUGAAAAGGUUCUACCUGGUUUAAGCUUAUGAAAACUAAGCUUGGGCUAAAAGUAUUUCUACCUGGAAAUAUGAGUUGGAUCUCCCUAGGCGAAAGGGUUUUACCUAAGUUAAGCUGCGUAAAAACAACUUGAGCAAAGAGUACUUCUACCCGGAAGUAUGUGAUGAAUCCCCCUAGGCGAAACGGUUCUACCUGAGUUAAGCUACGUAAUACAACAUGGGCAAAGAGUAGUACUACCCGGAACUAUAAGAUGGAUAUCUCGAGGUGACAAGGUUCUACCCGAGGUAAGCUAUGUAAAAUAACUUGAGUGAAGAGUACUUCUACCCAAAAAUAGGAGCUGGAUCCCCCUAGGCAAAAUGGUUAUACCUGGGUUAAGCUACAUAAAACACCAUAAGCGAAGAGUACUUUUACCCGUAACCAUGAGCUACAUCCUCAUAGGCAAAAAUGUUCUACCCGGGUUAAGCUAUUUAAAACAACCUGAGUGAAGAGUACUUCUACCCGGAAAUAGGAGAUGGAUCCCCUUCGGCGAAGAGGUUCUACCUGGGUUAAGCUACGAAUACUAAACAUGGGUGAAAAAUACUUCUACCCAGAACUAUGAGCUGGAUCCCCCUGGGUGAAAUAGUUCUACCCGAGUUAGCUACGUAAAACACCCUGAUAGAAGAGUACUUAUACCCGAAACUAUGAGCUAGAUCUCUUGAGGCAAAAAGGUUCUACCCAAGGUAAGCUAUGUAAAACAACCUGAGCAAGGGUGCUUCUACUCGGAACUUUGAGCUGGAUCCCCCUAGGAGAAAAGGUUUUACCUGGGUUAAACUACGUAAAACACCCCGAGCGAGGAAUCCAAAAGGUUUUACUUGGGUUAAGCUACGUAAAACACCCUGAGCGAGGAAUAUUUCUACCAUGAACUAUAAGCAAGAUCUCUCGAGGCGAAAAGGUUCUACUCGAGGUAAGAUAUAUAAAACAACCUAAGCGAAGAGUACUUCUAUCCGGAACUAUGAGCUGGAUCCCCCUAGGAGAAAAGGUUCUACCUUGGUUAAUCUAUAAAAAUUAUACCUGCACGAAAAGUACUUCUACUCGGAAAUAUGAGCUGGAUCUCAUAUGCUGCGUAAAAAUAACUUGAGGGAAGACUAAUUCUAAUCAGAAUUAAGAGCUAGAUCCCCCUAGGCGAAAAUUUUCUGCUUGAGUUAAGGUUUGUAAAACAACCAAAGUCAAGAGUACUUCUACUCAGAACUAAGAGCUAGAUCUCCCUAGGAGAGAAGGUUCUACUCGGGUUAAACAAUGUAAAACAACCUGAGUGAAGGGUAUUUCUACCCGAAAAUAGGAGCUGAAUUCCCCUAGGCAAAGAGGUUCUACCUAGGUUAAGCUACAAAAACUAAACAUGGGCGAAAAGUACUUCUACCCAGAACUAUGAGCUGGAUCCCCCUAGGCGAAAAGAUUUUACCUAGGUUAAGCUACAUAAAACACCCCGAGCAAAGAGUACUUCUACUCGGAACUAUGAGCUGGAUCCCCUAGGUCAAAAUGGUUCUACCGGAGUUAAGAUACAUAAAAUAAGAGGUAUGAAUAGUAAUGAUGCAUGCAGAAAAUAAAAGAAAAAUAAAGAUUUUGAGGAACUUACCUUUGGUGAAAUGCGUUCAUUCAGAAUCGCUUUUUUGCACUGCUUUGUUCCUACUUCAAACAAAGAAAAAGUUGUGAGUUUUCAAAGUGUUGCUUGGUUUGUGGACUUGAUGCCCGGAGUAGUUUGAUUCACGGCCACUGCUGUCGAAGAAAUAAUUCUGUCAGCAUGGCAGCGAGACGUGUGGCUACUCUGUAUUAUUUUCUGGAGACCUUGGCUUUCAAAUGUUGCCCCAUCUAUUUCAUACCCAGAUGUCCACGGUACAGCUACCCUUGUCUCUAAGGCAACACAAUUUUUCUUUAAAAGAGUUGACUUGCACUCAGUAUCAGUUUGUGUCCGUAGUGCUUAUCAACUUUUCUUAUGAAGCAUGUCUUACUUAUGCGGCUUUUCAGUUUCUUUGAAACACUUUGUUCGCCUUAUUGAAUGAGAUCUCAGAUGGAUUCGUGCCUUCAUCAAUGCUAUAUAUGCACUAAAUUGUGCUCGAUGUUACGGGGAAACUGUAGCCAGUUUUGCAGCUAUUUCUUUGCUUCGAUUUGAUGUAGAGAUUAGACUGAAGGGGACUCAAAGAAAGAUUAUGGGUAAAAAUAAAAUAAUAAUUGGAAGUGAAAAAGAACUGUUCUUAAACAAAAGGUGUCCCUUACGGAGAAAGGAAUAGGGAUACUUAUUUGGAGGUAUGUGCCGACUUUAAAUGAGCCAUUACAUGCAUUUUGGACUAGACGCUUGAUCCGUCUGAGCUAUCUAAUUUUCAAAAUAUGCACAAAUGUUCAUCUUGAAAUUGUCUUGGUUGUGCUCAUGCCGGAGAAUCGAAGACCCUCGUUCGACUAGUAGCGCCCUUUGUAGAUUUUCGUUAACUAACCUCUCUCAUUUGUCUACUAACCAUCACCUUAUGUGCCCAUCCGGUUUUUCACCAAUAAGAUUCUUUCAUUUCUCUGCUCACUGUCACCUUAUAGCUCACAUACGAGUUUUCACUGAUAAGACUCUCUCAUUUCUUUUUUAUUUACUAAGAUACUGCAUGCAGGAGGUUUCCCAAUGCCCUUGGUAUGAGGACUUCAAACAUUCUAAAAUAAUUAAUCAGAAGUUCUUAAAAGGUAAAAAGGCGAAAUGAACCUUGAACUGAAUUAUAACUUUUGGAACUAUUUUUUCAGAAAAAUCGUAAAAUAAAACAAACUUCUGCCCUAGUUUUGGAGUAUUGGGAAUAUGGAGUUUUCUUGUGAAGUGACCAAACCCAGGGUAAGGCUGCCUACGUAUCCUUUGGGAAUCAGGUCAGACGUAGUUCAAUGACUUUGAAGAUUCAUUGUUUGACUAUUUUUCUUUCUUUCUUCUUUAACAAGUACACAGGUUCUAGAAGGUGCAAAACAAAGAAGACAAAUACAACUCAAAGGGGUUAACAAAAGAGUGACACAUAUUUGGAAUAACGAGCAAAUGAUAGUCUUUUUCAUCUCGAUCUGAGAAAAUCAAUGCGUGAAAGUUCUACAAUAGCCAUAUAUUAGACAUAAUAUCUUUUGACUGCAUCUGCAUUAAUAGUCAUAUCUGGUACCCGUCCUUCUUCAUCUACCAAGUGCAAGGCCCCUUUUUGUAACACUUUCUUGAUGAUGUAGGUUCCUUGCUAGUUCAGUCCAAACUUUCCUUUAGCUUCAACCUGGUACGGAAGGAUGCGUUUCAAACCUAGCUGACCUACCUGAAUCCGCCUUGGGCGCACUUUCUUACUGUUAACGCGUGCCAUUCUUUGCUGGUAUAACUGGCCAAAACACACUGCUGCUAGCUGUUUUUCAUCGAUCAACAUCAGUUAUUCUAAUCGGGUCUUGAACCACUCAAAGUCUUCAAUCUUUGAUUCCACAAUAAUUCAGAGAGAGGGAAUUUCGACUCCAGCUGGUAUUACAGCUUCAGUUUCAUAUACAAGUAGAUAUGGAGUUGCAACAACAGAUGUUUGAACGAUCGUACGGUAUCCCAAAAGAGCAAAAGGCAACUUUUCAUGCCAUUUCCUGGAACCUUGGAUCAUAUUCCUAAGAAUCUUCUUGAUGUUCUUGUUUGCCUCUUUAACAUCUCCAUUGACUUUUUGCUGGAAAGGGGUAGAAUGGUGAUGCAUGAUUUUAAAUUGUUCACAUACCUCCUUUAUCAAAUGACUAUGUAGAUUGGCUGCAUUGGCCGUGAUAAUAGUCUUUGGGAUACCAAAGCGACCGAUGAUGUUGGAAUGAACAAAGUCUAGCACUACUAUCUUGGUGACUACUUUGAAAGUGACGGCCUCCACCCACUUGGUCAAGUAAUCAAUUGCAACAAAAAUGAAUCUACGCACAUUUGAAGCUUUUGGCUCGAUUGGUCCAAUACCAUCCAUUCCCCAAGCAACGAAAGGCCAAGGAGAGGACAUGGGAUGCAUCUCUAAAUGAGGCGAAUGGAUCAGGUCACCAUGAAUCCGGCAUUGGUUACACUUGCGAACAAAAUUAAAUCAAUCUCGCUCCACAGUAAGGCAAUAAUACCCUGCCCGCAGGAUUUUCUUCGCCAAAACAUAUCCAUUCAUGUGAGGUCCACAUACCCCUGAAUGCACCUCACUCAUGAUCCACUCUUAUUUUGUGUCAUCUAUGCAGCUCAGCAAGUUUAAAUCUAGGGUUCUCUUGUACAGAAUUUCCCCAUUCAAGAAGAAACCACUAGCGAUCCGCCUUAUAGUUAUUUUUUUAUCUUCUUUGGCAUGCUCUGGAUAUUCUCUUGUUUUUCAGGAAUCAUUUUAUGUCAUGAUACUAUGGUUCACUAUCUAGUUAUGUCUCAAUUAUAUUGCAGUAACCGUGUUGAUUCUGAACUUGGAUUUCUAGUAGAUUAAUAUGAGUGUUGCCUUGAUAAGGUAGCAUUGAGGCUAAAGUAGCCAAGCCAUUGUCUAGCUCGUUGUGAAACCUGGGAAAGUACCUGAACUCGAUAGAUUUGAAUCUUUUGCUCAAUUCUUGCACACACUGUCUAUAUGGAAUACGCUUGAUGUCUAGAGUCUCCCAUUUGUCCUGGGCUUGCCGAAUAAGCAAGUCGGAAUCUCCCAUAGCCAAUAGUUCAUGCACAUCCAUAUCGAUGGCCAUUUUCCAACCCAUGAUACAAGCUUUGUAUUCUGCCGUAUUAUAGAAGAACUGAAGUCGGGUUGUUACAGGGUAAUGAUGCCUAAUAGGUGAGAUGAGGAUUGCCUCGAUCCCAACUCCUUUGAUAUUGACGUAAAUGGUUAUAGUCUGGAACUACUUCCUCUAUUGAGUUGACCUCUUCGUCUGGGAAGUAUCAUACCUCUUUUUUACUACACCCCUGUACAAUAAAUAUGAGGGAGUUUUUUCAAACUUAAAGUAACAAUCGAAACUGGAUCAUUUUAUUAAAAAUUUAGAAUUUCCACUUUGGAUAAUUUUAUGGUGUCCCAAGUCACCGGUUCGUAUCCCAAAUCGAGGAAAGAUUGACAGUGUUCACAAUUCGCGAAUACAGAAAACCGGGUAAGGAAUUUUAUUAACUCGGGAGAAGGUGUUAGGCAUUCCCGAGUUUUGUGGUUCUAGCACGAUCACUCAACUGUUAUAAUUAGCCUUUUACCUGAUUUUAGUACAAGUUUUAGCCUAUGGUAUAUUUCAACUUUAUAAAUGCCUUUAUUAUUUUUAGGGAAGAUUCAACGUCAUAUAAAACACGUCUUGAACCACAUCACAUAAAUGCACCCGCGGUCCGCAACACAUUUUAUCUAACGUUGUUGAAAUUUGGAUUUGGGUCACAUAAAUGCACACCCGAGUUUAGGAAGGUAAAUUAUUAUAGUAACAUGCCUAAAGAGACUAUGCAUUCGCAACUUUGUGAGGGGCAUGGAAAAUUCAACUAAAUGGCACGCCUCGAAUUCUAAGGAUUAAGGUAUUAACUAAACGAGGGCCAUGCAUUUCAAGAUUUUUGUUUGGCGCGGCACACCUCAACUCCAAUUUUAAAGGAGAUUCAAAACUAAACUUUCGAGGGUCAUAAAUUAUACAUUUGGCUAAUAUGGCACACUCUCAGCUAGUUAAUUAUGCCAAUUAGGAAGCGACAAAGUUCUAGCUUAAUCUAGUUAUGUAAUCAAUCUUUUCUUGAAAUUGAAUUCAGGUCCUAGUCACAAUCAUACAACGAAGCAGUUGAGGAAUUGAUCACCCAAGUCAAAAACAAAUUAAAUAAUAGCUAAACUGGAUGCACGAAUAGUGCAUAGUAUUGGGCUCAAAAGCAAGACCGUCUCUCAAACGAGGAUCAGUCACACGCUAAUGAGAAGGGAAGCUUGUCCCUUUGGGCUUGACAUUGAGCCCCAAACAUGGAAAACCAUACAAAAGCGACUUAAUUUUAGAUCAUACUAAUUAACUAAGGGACAUCAAUUGAAUAGAUAAUCCACACACAAAUGUGACAUUAAGGCUGUAAUGAAAUUGAUUCAACAAAAGACUUCAUACAAGGUUCAUUUUAAAUUAAACUUACUUGUAUGAUAUUGAAAUUCAAGCCAAAAAAUGAUUCAACAAAGGUAUUCUAUUUGAAAUAAAAAAACUCGAACAUCAAAUUGAUUAAACAAAAGCCAACACCUCCGUUACUCAUGAUUCCCCUAUUAUACCAACUUCCACAUGAAUUCGGUGUUGUUCUACCAAAACCUUGGUCCAUUUGAAGAAGCAACUAAUGGUAAAUGCAGUGAACAAAUCUAAACCUAUAAGAUAACCAUUGAACUAGUUUAAAUUACUCUAAUCUCAUACAAAACUUGAUUAUAACCCUUCAUGAAAACUACCAGGCUAUUCUUACACAAAUCCAGAUAUUACCAACACUCUCUAUAAACUUCCAUACAUACUUGGCAAUCAACAUAUGAACCACAAACAUGUAUAUUACACUCUUCAACAUUCAAAGCAAAUAUAGAAGGAGAAAUCAAAAAACAAAAGUAAGUAGCUUCAACAGAAUAAGAAAGUCAGGCUUCGAGUUCAAAACGUCCUUUAUUGAUUUCAAGUUGAAACGAACACCUUUCACACACUUAAACACAGUUUGUCAAUUUAGGUUUGAAGGGGUACCUGGAAAUGAAAGGAAACAAGAAGUGAGGGAUCAGCAGUAGCAAUAGCAGAAGUUAGCCCCAGAUUCAAUCAAUCAGAUAGUGCAAUUAACCUAGGAAGACCAAUGGAGCAUUAACCCAAACAUCACACUUAAACCAACACUUUUAUAAACACAAAUUCAAUCCAUUUUAACCCCAGAUAAAUCAUAAAUUGCUUCAAAAAUUGAAAACCUCAAGAAUCACAGAAGAAAUACAAUGGAGUAGUGAUUUAAUGAAAUUUUUCAGUUGUUUUUGAUUUUUUCUGAAUUUU
RNAcentral lists this long non-coding RNA (7880 nucleotides) under Nicotiana benthamiana. RNAcentral describes it as "long non-coding RNA (NBEN_LNC042417)". Lineage: Eukaryota; Viridiplantae; Streptophyta; Magnoliopsida; Solanales; Solanaceae. The record is from RNAcentral.